This is a long non-coding RNA of Hyposmocoma kahamanoa, 271 nucleotides long. RefSeq lists it as uncharacterized. NCBI's taxonomy places the organism in Eukaryota, Metazoa, Arthropoda, Insecta, Lepidoptera, Cosmopterigidae. The record is from RefSeq and is a predicted model, not a curated record. The transcript has 3 exons.
GGACCGUGCGUCUUCUUCUCGGCCAAGGCCUGCAAAAAAAGCACUAUAUAUGUCUCGGCGAAAACGGGGAUUACUUGGCUCUUGGUAUUAAGUCAUACUCGUCCAGCAAUCCCUUACUUACCGGUCUCUGCAAUAAUGUCUAAAACAAGCUUUGGAAACAAUAUGCUAUUUGAAGAAAUUUUUAACUUCAAAACAAGUUAUUACACGAUGAAGGUCAAUUCAAAUGUAUACAGCCUACAACAAUAACAACACAUGUAUACUCUACUCAUCA